UGGGGAAUUUUGCACAAUGGGGGAAACCCUGAUGCAGCGACGCCGCGUGAUUUAGAAGGCCUUCGGGUUGUAAAAAUCUUUUCUAUGGGAAGAAAAUGACAGUACCAUAGGAAUAAGGACCGGCUAAUUACGUGCCAGCAGCCGCGGUAAUACGUAAGGUCCGAGCGUUGUCCGGAAUCAUUGGGCGUAAAGGGUACGUAGGCGGGUAAGCAAGUUAGAAGUGAAAUCCUAUAGCUCAACUAUAGUAAGCUUUUAAAACUGCUCAUCUUGAGGUAUGGAAGGGAAAGUGGAAGUCCUAGUGUAGCGGUGAAGUGCGCAGAUAUUAGGAGGAAGACCGGUGGCGAAGGCGACUUUCUGGCCAUAACCUGACGCUGAGGUACGAAAGCGUGGGUAGCAAACAGG
This 402-nucleotide ribosomal RNA is filed under the name bacterium. RNAcentral's name for it is "partial 16S ribosomal RNA". It matches the Rfam family "Bacterial small subunit ribosomal RNA", at positions 355 to 776 of the family's 1533-position model. The record is from RNAcentral.